AAAGGCCUAUAGGACUUUCUCCUACAUCAUCUGAAUGCAACU
RNAcentral lists this transfer RNA (42 nucleotides) under Phrynocephalus putjatai. RNAcentral's name for it is "partial tRNA-Ala". Lineage: Eukaryota; Metazoa; Chordata; Lepidosauria; Squamata; Agamidae. The record is from RNAcentral.